GACGAACGCUGGCGGCGCGCCUAACACAUGCAAGUCGAACGGAGCUACCUUUUCGGAAGUUUUCGGAUGGAAGAGGAAGUAGCUUAGUGGCGAACGGGUGAGUAACACGUGAGGAACCUGCCUUAAAGAGGGGGACAACAGUUGGAAACGACUGCUAAUACCGCAUAAGCCCACGGUGCCGCAUGGCACAGGGGGAAAAGGAGAAAUCCGCUUUAAGAUGGACUCGCGUCCAAUUAGCUAGAUGGUGAGGUAAAGGCUCACCAUGGCGACGAUUGGUAGCCGGACUGAGAGGUUGAACGGCCACAUUGGGACUGAGACACGGCCCAGACUCCUACGGGAGGCAGCAGUGGGGAAUAUUGCACAAUGGGGGAAACCCUGAUGCAGCGACGCCGCGUGGAGGAAGAAGGUUUUCGGAUUGUAAACUCCUGUCUUCGGGGACGAUAAUGACGGUACCCGAGGAGGAAGCCACGGCUAACUACGUGCCAGCAGCCGCGGUAAAACGUAGGUGGCAAGCGUUGUCCGGAAUUACUGGGUGUAAAGGGAGCGCAGGCGGGUCGGUAAGUUGGGAGUGAAAACUAUGGGCUCAACCCAUAAAUUGCUUUCAAGACUGCUGAUCUUGAGUGGUGUAGAGGUAGGCGGAAUUCCCGGUGUAGCGGUGGAAUGCGUAGAUAUCGGGAGGAACACCAGUGGCGAAGGCGGCCUACUGGGCACUAACUGACGCUGAGGCUCGAAAGCAUGGGUAGCAAACAGG
Molecule: ribosomal RNA, 751 nt
Filed under: uncultured Oscillospiraceae bacterium
Lineage: Bacteria; Bacillati; Bacillota; Clostridia; Eubacteriales; Oscillospiraceae
Description: bacterial SSU rRNA
Rfam family: Bacterial small subunit ribosomal RNA
Source: RNAcentral